UGACUUUUGCAUCACAGGUCCGGUGGACUCU
Molecule: non-coding RNA, 31 nt
Filed under: Mus musculus (house mouse)
Lineage: Eukaryota; Metazoa; Chordata; Mammalia; Rodentia; Muridae
Source: RNAcentral